GAGAGUUGUGUAGAAUAAAACGGAAAAUAAAAGAGUUUUAAAAAGUGGGGACAGUGUAGAAGCCUCAGUGACAGAAAGAAGUGGUGAGUCACUGAGACGCGGCUGUGACCGUAGUACAGAGUGGUAGUGCAGGGAUCAGACAGAGAGCCGUAUAAGCCGCAUGCACAGUAUUUCAGUUAUUCUUAGGAAUGUAAAACAGAAACUUUAAAAAAGCAUAGUGCUGUGAUCUGUCAUGAACACUCCAGGAAGGUGCAUUUGCAAUUUCCCUUUCUCUGAAGAGGGACAAACAAAGGCAUGAGCACAUUCCACUGAGCUGUUAUGAAAAUGAAGUGCAGACAGCAGGCUGAGUAAUGAUUGCAAAUCCAAUGACCUACUUGGUGACGGCAAAGAGAAGGGAGCUGCAAGACAUGGGGCACCCAUGGCCAGAGUCUCAGGUGACUGCCAUGCCCUUCCAGUUUGUGUACACAUUAAGGAAGCUAAUGUUCUCCACUGUGGCAUGUACCAAGGUCAUAUGCUAUGUCAAGACCUGGAGUUGUGGAUCACACAGAGAUGUCAUUAGAUCGGGGGAAAAGGCCGUAAAAGAAGAGACCCAAGCAAGCCGUG
Long non-coding RNA from Mus musculus (house mouse), 603 nucleotides. RefSeq annotates it as predicted gene, 46397. The record is from RefSeq and is a predicted model, not a curated record. NCBI's taxonomy places the organism in Eukaryota, Metazoa, Chordata, Mammalia, Rodentia, Muridae. The transcript has 4 exons.